Molecule: small nuclear RNA, 104 nt
Organism: Tyto alba (common barn owl)
Lineage: Eukaryota; Metazoa; Chordata; Aves; Strigiformes; Tytonidae
Source: RefSeq, a predicted model, not a curated record
CUUGCCUGUAUGCAGGGGGAAUAAUUUUUUUAAUGAUACAGAGAAGAUUAGCAUGGCCCCUGCACAAGGAUGACAUGCAAAUUCGUGAAGCAUUCCGUAUUUUU